GCCCGGCUAGCUCAAUCGGUAGAGCGUCAGACUCUUAAUCUGAAGGCUGUGGGUUCGACCCCCACGUUGGGCG
This is a transfer RNA of 73 nucleotides. It matches the Rfam family "tRNA". Rfam says of the family: Transfer RNA (tRNA) molecules are approximately 80 nucleotides in length. Their secondary structure includes four short double-helical elements and three loops (D, anti-codon, and T loops). The record is from Rfam.